AUUGACAGGAUGAGAUGAACGAGCUCCUCCUGAACCUUCAUUUAGAGCCUCAUUUAAAUACAGAAUGAGUUCAUUUGCAUAUUGAUCAGAUGCUUCAGUGCUCUGAGAGUGUUUAUAGUGCUGUGAGUUUAACACUUCAUCACUGACACACACAACAAUCUUCAUCAACAUGACCUUCAUCAUCAUCUUCAUCUGGACUCUCACAGCGUUUGCUCAAGAGUGUAGAGGACAGAUCACCGUCACUCAGAGUCCCUCAAUGACAGCAGCUCAACCAGGACAAACUGUGAACAUCAACUGUAAAACCAGCACAGAUGUGCCCAAUUGUAGUGGGAAUGAUAAAUGUAUAUUCUGGUACUUACAGAAACCUGGAGAAUCUCCUAAACUCCUCAUUUAUUAUGCAAACCGCCUCCAGUCAGGAACUCCAUCUAGAUUCAGUGGCAGUGGAUCUAACAGAGAUUUCACUCUGACCAUCAGUGGUGUCCAGACUGAAGAUGCUGGACAUUAUUACUGUCAGAGUUACCACAGUGGUCCAGUGUUCACACAGUGA
Non-coding RNA from Megalobrama amblycephala (Wuchang bream), 547 nucleotides. The record is from the annotation of a RefSeq genome assembly. Lineage: Eukaryota; Metazoa; Chordata; Actinopteri; Cypriniformes; Xenocyprididae.